This 501-nucleotide ribosomal RNA is filed under the name uncultured bacterium. Its description in RNAcentral is "partial 16S ribosomal RNA". It matches the Rfam family "Bacterial small subunit ribosomal RNA", at positions 30 to 523 of the family's 1533-position model. The record is from RNAcentral.
AUUGAACGCUGGCGGCAGGCUUAACACAUGCAAGUCGAGCGGGGGAAGGUAGCUUGCUACCGGACCUAGCGGCGGACGGGUGAGUAAUGCUUAGGAAUCUGCCUAUUAGUGGGGGACAACAUCUCGAAAGGGAUGCUAAUACCGCAUACGUCCUACGGGAGAAAGCAGGGGAUCUUCGGACCUUGCGCUAAUAGAUGAGCCUAAGUCGGAUUAGCUAGUUGGUGGGGUAAAGGCCUACCAAGGCGACGAUCUGUAGCGGGUCUGAGAGGAUGGUCAGCCACACUGGGACUGAGACACGGCCCAGACUCCUACGGGAGGCAGCAGUGGGGAAUAUUGGACAAUGGGGGGAACCCUGAUCCAGCCAUGCCGCGUGUGUGAAGAAGGCCUUAUGGUUGUAAAGCACUUUAAGCGAGGAGGAGGCUACUUUAGUUAAUACCUAGAGAUAGUGGACGUUACUCGCAGAAUAAGCACCGGCUAGCUCUGUGCCAGCAGCCGCCGUAA